UAAAACUUGCAUCAUACUAUGAUACAUCUCCUGAAUGCAACUCAAGCACUUUAAUUAAGCUAAAGCUU
This 68-nucleotide transfer RNA is filed under the name Anolis cybotes (large-headed anole). RNAcentral describes it as "tRNA-Ala". Lineage: Eukaryota; Metazoa; Chordata; Lepidosauria; Squamata; Anolidae. The record is from RNAcentral.